UACAGAGGGCCCGAGCGUUGUUCGGAUUUAUUGGGCGUAAAGGGUGCGUAGGCGGCGGAGUAAGUUGGGUGUGAAAUCCCGGGGCUCAACCUCGGAAUUGCAUUCAAUACUGGUUCGCUCGAGUACUGGAGAGGAGGCUGGAAUUUACGGUGUAGCAGUGAAAUGCGUAGAUAUCGUGAGGAAGACCAGUUGCGAAGGCGGAUCUCUGGGCAGUUCCUGACACUGAGGCACGAAGGCCAGGGGAGCAAACGGG
RNAcentral lists this ribosomal RNA (253 nucleotides) under uncultured bacterium. RNAcentral describes it as "partial 16S ribosomal RNA". It matches the Rfam family "Bacterial small subunit ribosomal RNA", at positions 524 to 776 of the family's 1533-position model. The record is from RNAcentral.